This 589-nucleotide ribosomal RNA is filed under the name uncultured bacterium. RNAcentral describes it as "partial 16S ribosomal RNA". It matches the Rfam family "Bacterial small subunit ribosomal RNA", at positions 355 to 1376 of the family's 1533-position model. The record is from RNAcentral.
UGGGGAAUCUUCCGCAAUGGACGAAAGUCUGACGGAGCAACGCCGCGUGAGUGAAGAAGGUUUUCGGAUCGUAAAACUCUGUCUUUUGGGGCGAACGUGAGUAUGGUGAACAAUCAUAGUCAGUGACGGUACCAAAGGAGGAAGCCACGGCUAACUACGUGCCAGCAGCCGCGGUAAUACGUAGGUGGCAAGCGUUGUCCGGAAUUAUUGGGCGUAAAGAGCGCGUAGGCGGGAUAGUCAGUCUGUUGUAAAAGUGCGGGGCUCAACCCCGUGAUGGCAAUGGAAACAGUUAUUCUUGAGUGCAGGAGAGGAAAGUGGAAUUCCCAGUGUAGCGGUGAAAUGCGUAGAUAUUGGGAGGAACACCAGUGGCGAAGGCGACUUUCUGGACUGUGUCUGACGCUGAGGCGCGAAAGCCAGGGGAGCGAACGGGAUUAGAUACCCCGGUAGUCCUGGCCGUAAACGAUGGGUACUAGGUGUGGGAGGUAUCGACCCCUUCCGUGCCGGAGUUAACGCAAUAAGUACCCCGCCUGGGGAGUACGGUCGCAAGACUGAAACUCAAAUGAAUUGACGGGGUCAUAGCUGUUUCCUG